Molecule: long non-coding RNA, 6831 nt
Organism: Orcinus orca (killer whale)
Lineage: Eukaryota; Metazoa; Chordata; Mammalia; Artiodactyla; Delphinidae
Exons: 4
Source: RefSeq, a predicted model, not a curated record
CCUUCCGGGCGGGGCUUGGGGGGCCACGCCCCCGGGGAGCGGAGGCCGGCGGGCGCAGGGGAAAUUCCGCAGGGAGCGAGGUGAGGAGCUAGCGGUUGGAGUCGGGUCUCCGGGCGCGUACUCCCCCCGCCGGUGAGGGUGAACUAACGGAAGUGGGCGGGCCGGCGCGCCGGGUUAGCAGGCGUUUAUCCUGUAUGGCCGCAGCAGUCAGCGCCCUUCACCAGCACGAGCCCCGCCUGCAGAGCCCUCGGCGGCAUCCAGCAGGAGGCCUCCCGCGGGAACUGUCACUCCGCCAAACAAGAGAGUUAAACAAGCAAAAGCCUAGAAACAAGCCAGCUGUCCAUCUGCAGUGGAAAGCAUACGCAAAUUGUGAUGUGCUCACGUACUGGAAUUCUACCCUGGCGUGAAAAAUCCACGAGCCACAGCUGCAAGCAACAAUAUGGUCUUCGUGAAAGGCAUCAGUUGGAACCUCAGAGUUUGGAUUUCUCUGCAGGUGUGCUGGGGGCCUCAGCGUCCGUGUGCCUCAGCUGCCUGGGCUCAGUCUGUCCAGGAGGGAUUUGGAAAGGACCCACGUAACGCCACAAAUAAAACACUAAAAUGGGAGCUUUUCGGGAAAAAUAAAAUAGAAUCCAGAAUGUUCUGAGCCACUUAAACUCUUCUGGAAAAGUGGAAAAAACAGUGUGGAAGUGUCAAUACUUCUAUUGUAUUUAGACAGUGUCGUUAAAUGUCAACUUUGUAUGUGAUUGUGAGAUGUAUAUGAACGGAGGCAUUACUAUCAUUCUAUCAUAAUUUACUGCUUGACCAAAAUAAACUAAUAAGAUAAAUAAAUACAUCUGCUCAUCCCCAACUGACUCAUAUGACCCUGAAUCGAAAUAAAAUAUUGGAUGAGCUGGCGAUGCCAAGUUUAAACUGGAUUAGCGACAGAAUCUCAGUGUGCUGUUUCGAUAUAAUUAACGCGAUGAUUUAAUAUGUUUUUAGCUCAGAAUCAUCGUAAGAGGUUUUUUGUAGUAACAUAGAAAUGAACGCACACUCAUCCAAUCUGCAGAGGAAUAAAAGGUUAUAAUAUUUUUGAGUUCUCCUGGCAGAGGAUCCAUUCUCAUCAAUCUCGUGCUCGGCAGGAGAGCCUAGGGAUGUUUUUCUUCCCAUCACUCAAAGCCGUUAUUUAAUGGGGGGUAACAGCCACAGUCUUCAUUAAUAUAUUAACCUAUGGCUCCAAAAGGCCUCGCAGUAAACCAGCUAAAGACUCCUCCUGGCAGGUUCAUGUCACAGGGCUUGCAGACAUUAACCAUUGGAAACACUGACCUCAGGGAUGAGCCCAAAGUUAAUAACCAGGCGAAGUCGGCUGGCCGACAGGCAGAAAGAGGGAGCCAAGAAGCCGACCUCAGGGAACCCGCGUGCGAGCUGUUCAAGAGGGACGGGGCACAACCACGUGUAAAACCUUACGGUGGAACGUUCUGCAGCUUCCAGAAGAAUGAGCAAAAUGGAACGAGUGCUAAAUGGAACCUGUUGCAAAAUGGAACGAGUUGCAAAAUGGAACGAGUGCUAAAUAUAUGGUUACGUGAAAAAAAAUGAAGAUGCCACAUGGAUUAAACUCUCAGUUGCUCAGCAUUCUAGCACUGGGGGGUCCCCAGAGGAACGGCUGACUCCUGGCCUGCUCACCCUAAAGCUAAACCUACCGAGGCUCCCUGGAAACACACAGCACGCUUUCCUAAUGACACCGGAUCUCGGUUCUUUCGAACCGAAAGAACCAAAAAGGAAAUCAUAGACUCUUGUAGAUGUGUAAUGAGACAGUAAAGCAUGUGUCUGUGGACUCUGCUUCCCGGUUUCCAAAUGACUCACAGUGCAAGUCUUCACAUCGUAAGCUCAGGGGUCUCCCAUCCUGCUCACCCUGCAGUGAAACCUGGCUCUGAUGAGCCUCCACAGGACACACGAGCCAUUGCCUAUGCUGUAGCUUGAAGGUCAACAAAGAACGACCGGACAUAACUGGGAAACCAGAAAUACGAAGGAGAGGGCUUCCCUGGUGGCGCAGUGGUUGAGAGUCCGCCUGCCGAUGCAGGGGACACGGGUUCGUGCCUCCGUCCAGGAGGAUCCCACAUGCCGCAGAGCGACUGGGCCCGUGAGCCAUGGCCGCUGAGCCUGCACGUCUGGAGCCUGUGCUCCGCAGUGGGAGAGGCCACAACAGUGAAAGGCCCGCGUGCCGCAAAAAAAAAAAAAAAAAAGAAAUACAAAGGAGAAAGAAUAAGGGAAACGAGAAAAAGGGAACCAAGAAAUCAUAUGCACCUAUGAUCCCAUAUCGAUUUAAAAUAUACACAGUGUGUCAGAGAAAGACAAAUAUCACAUGAUAUCACUUGUGUGCAGAAUCUAAAAAAAAUCAUACAAAUGAAUUUAUUUAUAAAACAGAAACAGACUCACAGACAUAAAAAACAAACUUACGGUUACCAAAGGGGAAAGGGUGGCAGAGAGGGCUAAAUUAGGAGUUUGGGAUUAACAGAUACACCCUGUUGUAUAUAAAACAGAUAUACAACAACGACCUAGCACAGGGAACUGUAUUCAGUAUCUUAUAAUAACUUAUAAUGGAAAAGAAUCUGAAAAAAAUAGAUAUAUUGUAUGUAGGGAGUUCCCUGACGAUCCAGUGGUUAGGACUCAGCACUUUCACUGCUGUGGCCCUGGGUUCAAAACCUGGUCGGGGAACUGGGAUCCUGCAGGCCAUUCGGCACAGUCAAAAAAAAAAAAAAAGAAUAUAUAUAUAUAUCCGAAUCACUUUGCUGUACACCAGAAAGUAACACAACAUUGUAAAUCAACUAUACUUCAAUUAAAAAUAUAUAUAUACACAGUGUGUUUGUAAGUACACCAACAUAUGUGUGUUUAUACAUGUGCAUAUAUAUGUGUAUCUGGAAAGAUAUGUACUCAGAUUCGAGCAGUGCUAAUCUCUAGGUGGUGGGACAUACUUUUUUUUUUAACUGUUGCGUUUUUCAGUUUUCAUCUUCCAAUUCCAUAAGUGUACAAUGCUUCUGAAAUUACACAAAAAAUGUUUUUCAAAAUACAAGUAAACUAAAACAGUAUAUUAAAAACCUAGAGUAGGGCUUCCCUGGUGGCACAGUGGUUGAGAGUCCACCUGCCGAUGCAGGGGACACGGGUUCGUGCCCCGGUCCGGGAGGAUCCCACAUGCCGCAGAGCGGCUGGGCCAGUGAGCCAUGGCCGCUGAGCCUGCACGUCCGGAGCCUGUGCUCCGCAACGGGAGAGGCCACAACAGUGAGAGGCCCGCGUACCGCAAAAAAAAAAAACAACCUAGAGUGAUCUGAGAUGUUGCAAGAAACAGAACAGAACUUCAAAAAAGACUCCAAAUAGUAUCUUAGAGAUCCUGGGGAACAAAUGCAUUCGUAAAACAAGAAUAGGAUGACAUGAAAAAGGAAAGAAUAGAGGACAAGUAACUUUUAAAAGAAUGCUGAAAUUGAAAACAUUAAUAGAAAAGUUGUAAGACGGAGCUGGGGAAAAAGGCAGAUGGAAAAUAUGGGAAGCAAUAAAAGACUUAGAACAUCAAUCCAAAAAAUUUCAACAUCUAACCAAUAAGAGUCCCAGAAAGAGAGUGUAAAGAAUCUGAGGGGUGAAUGUUGUUAAAGAGAGAUUAUCAGAAAUUACCAGAAUCAAAAGUCUUCAAAUGGGGCUUCAAAUGGGGCUUUCCCAUACCUCAAAAAAAAAAAAAAGUCUUCAAAUGGAGAGUUCUCAGCACAAUAAAUGAAAAAGAGACCCACAUCUCAAUAUAUCACUUCAGAACACACAAAGAGACAAGAAUCAGAUUGGCAUCUGAUUUUCCAUACACAACACUAGAUGCUAGAAAAUAAUGAAGCAACAUCUUCAAAGUUCCUAGGGAAAAAAUUCUGUUUCACCUAAAAUUCUGCAGCCCACCAAACCACCAAUCAAGCGUGAGGUAGAGUACAAUCAUUUUCAGAUACGACAUUUACAGAGUUUACUUCGUGCUCUCUCCUUCCCCUUCUGGGAAGUUACUCAAGAAUGUGAAUCAGAGAAUGGAGAGAAAGUGACAAACCGAGGGGCACUCGUCCCCUUGCCCCCUCCCCUUCCAGGAAGCAGCCCUGGAGCUUAAUGAGGGGAAACCCUGGGUGACAGAAGUCUGGAUGCUACCUAGUGAAAGGGCACAGAAGGAGAAUGCUGUGCCUUAGGUGUCUUUACAGAGGGUGAAUAGGAGGGGCCAUGUCAAGGUUGGGUUUUCCAGAAACAGGAGUUGGGAUGGAGUUUGUGUUGGAGAUCCGCACAGAGGAAAGGGGAGGAAGCAGGGUUGGGGAGCUGUGGCUCAGGCCAGGAGCCUGCAGGGCAGAGUGGGCCACCAUGGCCCAUCAGAGGAGCCCCCCAAAUCCCCUCCCCCAGCCCAUCACUAGACGUGGACCACCCAGGGAAGGGCGUGCCUGUGGUCAGGGAGGCUCUCGGCAGCAGAGGCCGGCCCUGAAGGGGCAUCUGGUGCACACGUCUCUUGGUCGGCCCACAGCACAGUCCAUGGCAAACCCCUGGAAAGCACAGAGAUGAGCUGCAGGGGUUCUAUCAGCCCCGUGCAAAAUCUACAGGCAGGACGCUAAGUUAUGGUUCUGAAGAGUUUUCUAUGGGGGGAGCACAGAGUAAGUUAGUCUAAGUACGCAAUUUCCUGAAAACGUGUUAAUGAAACUUAAAGGAUAUAAAAAUUAAAUUAACUUUUAAGAUCUUCAUCUCCAAUAUCCAUUGCCUAGGCUAAGUUUUUUUUUUUAAUAACUUCGCUUUUCUAAGAGCAGUUUAGGCCGACAAUAAAACUUAGACGAAGGGAUUUCCCACCCGGCCACCCGGCCGCCCGCUGCCCACACGCAGGCAUAGCCUCCCCUUUGCUGACAGCACUCACCAGAGUGGUUCGCUUGUUUUACCAAAGGUGAACCUCCAUUGACGCAUCAGAAUCACCCAAGUCCAUGUUUAUCCUAGGGCUCACUCUGGGCGGUGUACACUCAGUGGAUUUGGACAAAUGUGCAAUGACAUAUAUCCAUCAUUAUCAUAUCAUAAAGAGUAUUUUCACUGCCCUAAAAAUCCUCUGUGCUCUACCUAUUCAGCUUUUCCCAACCCCUCCCCUCCAAAACCACUGAUCUCUUUACCGUCUCCAUAGUUGUGCCCUUUCCAGAUUGUCAUAGAGUCAGAAUCGUGCAGUGUGUCGCCUUUCCAGACUGGCUUUCACUUAGUGACGUGCCUUAUGGUUCCUCCAUGCCUUGUCUUGGCUUCACAGCUCAUCUCUCUUUAGCACCGAAUGAUAUUUCACUCUCUGGAUACACCACAGGUUAUUUAUCCUCUCACCUACUGAUGGACGUAUGAGUUGCCUCCAAUUUUUGGCAAUUAUGAAUAAAGCUGCUCUGAGUAUCUGUGUGCAGGUUUUGUGUGGAGAUAUGUUUUCAGCUCUUCUGGGUAAGUACCAAGGAGCAUGCUUGCUGGAUUAUAUGGUAAGAGUACGUUUCGUUUUGAAAGGCACCGCCCAACUGCCUUGCCAAGUGGCUGCACCACGUGCGUCCCCACCAGCGGUGAGCGUUCCGGCUGCCCCACGUCCUCGCCAGCAUUUGGUGUUGUCGGUGCUCUGGAUUUUGGCCAUUCUCAGAGGUGUGUAGUGGUGUCUCAUUGCUGUUUUAAUUUGCAUUUCCUUGAUGACAUAGGAUGUGGGGCAUCCUUUCAUACAUGCUUACUUGCCAUCUGUAUAUCUUCUUUGCUGAGGUAUCUAUUAAGGUCUUUGGCCAGUUUUUUCAGUUGGGUUGUUUUCUUGAGUUUUGAGAGUUCUUUGAGUUGAGUUGAAUUUUGAGAGUUCUUUGUCUAUUUUGGAUAAUAACCCUUUAUCAAAUGUGUCUGUUGCAAAUAUUUUCUUCCACUAUGUGGCUUAUCUUUUAAUUCCCUUGAUAUUGCCUUUUGCAGAGCAGAAGUUUUUAAUUUUAAUGAAAUCCAGCUUAACAAUUAUUUCUUUCAUGGAUCGUGUCUUUGGUGGUGUAUCUAAAAAGGCAUCACCGUACCCAAGAUCAUCUAGGUUUUCUCCUAUGUUAUCUGCUAGGGGGUUUGCAUUUUACACUUAGGUCUAUGAUCCAUGUUGAGUUAAUUAGGUUAGGCUUUUGACAGUAUUUAUGUGAUAGAUUGCUCAAAACUAUCUGCACUCCUAAGUUUGUUGCAGCAUCACUUACAAUAGCCAAGAUAUGGAAACAACCUAUGUGUCCAUUGAAAGAUGAAUGGAUAAAGAAAAUGUGAUGUAUACAUACAAUAAAAUAUUAUUCAGCCUUAAAAAAGAAUACACGUUAUAUUCUGUUUUAUGCUACAACAUGGAUGAACCAGGAGGGCAUCACGCUCAGUGAAGUAAGCCCGUCCCAGAAGGACAAAUCCUGCAUGAUUCCACUUAUCUGAGGAAUCUAAAGUAAUCAAACUCACAGAAGCAGAGGGUAGCAUGGUUGUUGCCAGGGGCUGGGGGAGGGGAGACAUGUGGAGUUGGUAAUAGGCAUAAAGUUUCCGUUGUGCAGGAUAAACAGUUUCUAGAGAUCUGUUGUACAACUUAGUGCCUCCAGUUAACAAUUCUGGUUUUUUUUCUUGAAAAUUAGUUUUAAGAGUGUAGCUCUCAAAAAAAAAAAAAAAAAGAGUGUAGCUCUCAUGUUAAGUGUUCUUAUGACAAAGAAGGUAGGGGCAUGAGGAAGUUAGCAGGUGAUGGAUAAGUUUAUUGACUGUGGUGAUGGUAUCACAGGUGAAAGCAUGUGUCCAUACUAAACGAAGUGUAUACAUCAAAUAUGUGCAUUUUUAUAUAUAACAGUUGUAUCUCAAUAAAGCCAUAAAUAAAAUUGA